UCUCGGCUUUUGGCGCUGGGGAUCUCUUCCUCCGACGUUGCUGAUGUUCUCCCUGGAGCACGGCAGUUUAGAUCACCAUCUCUCGGGAUCUCGCUGCAAAAGAAGAACUUGGAGAGAACUUGGGGAGAGGAAAGCUGUAAGGCUACUCUUGCAAAGUUUGUUCUCUCUCC
Selaginella moellendorffii is the source of this 170-nucleotide long non-coding RNA. RefSeq lists it as uncharacterized. Lineage: Eukaryota; Viridiplantae; Streptophyta; Lycopodiopsida; Selaginellales; Selaginellaceae. The transcript is spliced from 2 exons. The record is from RefSeq and is a predicted model, not a curated record.